RNAcentral lists this ribosomal RNA (849 nucleotides) under Candida albicans. RNAcentral describes it as "LSU rRNA". It matches the Rfam family "Eukaryotic large subunit ribosomal RNA", at positions 69 to 937 of the family's 3401-position model. Lineage: Eukaryota; Fungi; Ascomycota; Pichiomycetes; Serinales; Debaryomycetaceae. The record is from RNAcentral.
CAGGGAUUGCCUCAGUAGCGGCGAGUGAAGCGGCAAAAGCUCAAAUUUGAAAUCUGGCGUCUUUGGCGUCCGAGUUGUAAUUUGAAGAAGGUAUCUUUGGGCCCGGCUCUUGUCUAUGUUCCUUGGAACAGGACGUCACAGAGGGUGAGAAUCCCGUGCGAUGAGAUGACCCGGGUCUGUGUAAAGUUCCUUCGACGAGUCGAGUUGUUUGGGAAUGCAGCUCUAAGUGGGUGGUAAAUUCCAUCUAAAGCUAAAUAUUGGCGAGAGACCGAUAGCGAACAAGUACAGUGAUGGAAAGAUGAAAAGAACUUUGAAAAGAGAGUGAAAAAGUACGUGAAAUUGUUGAAAGGGAAGGGCUUGAGAUCAGACUUGGUAUUUUGCAUGUUGCUCUCUCGGGGGCGGCCGCUGCGGUUUACCGGGCCAGCAUCGGUUUGGAGCGGCAGGAUAAUGGCGGAGGAAUGUGGCACGGCUUCUGCUGUGUGUUAUAGCCUCUGACGAUACUGCCAGCCUAGACCGAGGACUGCGGUUUUUACCUAGGAUGUUGGCAUAAUGAUCUUAAGUCGCCCGUCUUGAAACACGGACCAAGGAGUCUAACGUCUAUGCGAGUGUUUGGGUGUAAAACCCGUACGCGUAAUGAAAGUGAACGAAGGUGGGGGCCCAUUAGGGUGCACCAUCGACCGAUCCUGAUGUGUUCGGAUGGAUUUGAGUAAGAGCAUAGCUGUUGGGACCCGAAAGAUGGUGAACUAUGCCUGAAUAGGGUGAAGCCAGAGGAAACUCUGGUGGAGGCUCGUAGCGGUUCUGACGUGCAAAUCGAUCGUCGAAUUUGGGUAUAGGGCGAAAGACUAAUCG